Molecule: long non-coding RNA, 438 nt
Organism: Folsomia candida
Lineage: Eukaryota; Metazoa; Arthropoda; Collembola; Entomobryomorpha; Isotomidae
Exons: 3
Source: RefSeq, a predicted model, not a curated record
GAGUCAUCCCUCCCACAUUUGAGGGAAAAAAGUGCUGCUUAUUGUAUCCUAAGAUGACGAUUAUCGAAUAAUUCUCCUGUCAUUGAACCUCAAACACUGUUUCAACAAGCGGUGAACAAAUAGUUGCAAGAACAACGGUUGAACCCCGGAUCCCAAAAGAUUCUCGGAGUGGACCGCCCCGUUUCUGAGACUGCCCUCGUCCUCGGGGAGAGACUGACUUGGAACAAGUGCGGAAUUUUGACCCGCACUUCGCGUGACUUGACAAACUCUUUAUAUUUAUGGAACAAAAAUCUAUCCGCGGGGUCACCCCAGCGGAGGAGCAGGUCACGAUUUCGGACCAGUUCCACCCAAGGAUUUACCCGGGUGUUUGACACGUCGAGGAAGUUCUGCAUCAGCCAGGAGUACAGUUUCAACCGUUGACAAGUGAACCCCUUGUUG